This 301-nucleotide ribosomal RNA is filed under the name uncultured bacterium. Its description in RNAcentral is "partial 16S ribosomal RNA". It matches the Rfam family "Bacterial small subunit ribosomal RNA", at positions 509 to 807 of the family's 1533-position model. The record is from RNAcentral.
CAGUCGCCGCGGGAAUACGUAGGUGGCAAGCGUUGUCCGGAAUUAUUGGGCGUAAAGGGCUCGCAGGCGGUUUCUUAAGUCUGAUGUGAAAUCCCCGGGCUCAACCCGGGAACUGCAUCUGUGACUGCAUAGCUAGAGUACGGUAGAGGGGGAUGGAAUUCCGCGUGUAGCAGUGAAAUGCGUAGAGAUGUGGAGGAAUACCGAUGGCGAAGGCAGCCCCCUGGGCCAAUACUGACGCUCAUGCACGAAAGCGUGGGGAGCAAACAGGAUUAGAUACCCCUGUAGUCCCUGUCUCUUAUAC